RNAcentral lists this long non-coding RNA (910 nucleotides) under Homo sapiens (human). Its description in RNAcentral is "non-protein coding lnc-DISP3-1:1". Lineage: Eukaryota; Metazoa; Chordata; Mammalia; Primates; Hominidae. The record is from RNAcentral.
UGAGGACUGGGAUUCGCGCGCAGCUUCCCGCGGUCUGCUUGCCCUGGAGCGGAGGGGGAGCCCCAGCCUCCUGCGGCUCCGAGAAGCUUCCCCCUGCGACUUCCGCGAGGAGACGAGUCUGCGCAGCGUGGUGGCCGCCGCCCCCCGACCCUCUGCGCACUCUCUCCCGCGCCGGCGGCUCAGCCUAGCCCCGUUCGGCCGGCCGAGGUUCCAUGUCCCCGUUACUCUCUCUUUGGAAAUCUGACGACCCUCCACCGUGGCCUCAGCAGCUUCUGUUCCCCUCCCCAGGAAGUUUUCUAGGGCCAGAUGCCACAGAGCCCCAGUGAUCUCUCCAAGGGGCCAAGAACUUUGGGUGAAGCAUUCUGGAACCCCCCUCGAGAUCUGGCUAGCCAUGAGAUCUGGUAGCCAUGACCUGGCUUGCCCUUUGACACCUCUCCUGCUGUUGUCCUUCAAAUCCAGAAACUGGGUUGAAAGAAGAGUAGUCCCAGCAUGGUGUGGUGGAAGGAGCACUGGACUGGAAGUGAGGGGACCUGGAUCCUAGUCCGAGCUUAACCACAGACUCCCAGUUUGCCCUUGGGCAAACUACUUCCCUUCUCUGAGCUUCAGGUUUCCCGUCUGUUAAAGGACUGCCUGAGGUGACCUGUAGGGUCACUUUCUGGCCCUAAUAAUCUGGAACAUUGACUCUCUAGUGAGUCUCUUGAGUGUGGGUGGGAUUGAAAAUUGUGAUUCUAACCCCAAAGAUUACCCUACCUUUCCCCUUCCUUAGAGCACCCACCACUAGUGAAGUCAUCCUGUUCCCUGAGUGAGGGAUGUUUAGAUGAUUUCCUUAAUAGGACCAGAGAUGUCAAGUAAUUUUCUUGAGGUCAUACUGCUGAAGUGCAAUCUUCAUUGGGGCAGGCAUUACUUCUAC